Molecule: ribosomal RNA, 492 nt
Filed under: uncultured bacterium
Lineage: Bacteria
Description: partial 16S ribosomal RNA
Rfam family: Bacterial small subunit ribosomal RNA
Source: RNAcentral
CUUUUCCUCUUUCUUUCUGCCUAACACAUGCAAGUCGAACGGCAGCACAGUAAGAGCUUGCUCUUACGGGUGGCGAGUGGCGGACGGGUGAGGAAUACAUCGGAAUCUACUUUUUCGUGGGGGAUAACGUAGGGAAACUUACGCUAAUACCGCAUACGACCUACGGGUGAAAGCAGGGGAUCUUCGGACCUUGCGCGAAUGAAUGAGCCGAUGUCGGAUUAGCUAGUUGGCGGGGUAAAGGCCCACCAAGGCGACGAUCCGUAGCUGGUCUGAGAGGAUGAUCAGCCACACUGGAACUGAGACACGGUCCAGACUCCUACGGGAGGCAGCAGUGGGGAAUAUUGGACAAUGGGCGCAAGCCUGAUCCAGCCAUACCGCGUGGGUGAAGAAGGCCUUCGGGUUGUAAAGCCCUUUUGUUGGGAAAGAAAAGCAGCAGGUUAAUACCCCGCUGUUCUGACGGUACCCAAAGAAUAAGCACCGGCUAACUUCGUG